UACGUAGGAUCCAAGCGUUGUCCGGAUUUACUGGGUGUAAAGGGUGCGCAGGCGGGCUGGUAAGUCUGGGGUGAAAUCUCGCCGCUUAACGGCGAAACUGCCUUAGAUACUAUCAGUCUUGGAUAAGCGAGAGGUUCGUGGAAUUCCGAGUGUAGCAGUGAAAUGUGUAGAUAUUCGGAAGAACACCAGUGGCGAAGGCGACUCGCUGGUCUUUUGCUGACGCUGAGACGCGAAAGCGUGGGGAGCAAACAGG
This 253-nucleotide ribosomal RNA is filed under the name uncultured bacterium. RNAcentral describes it as "partial 16S ribosomal RNA". It matches the Rfam family "Bacterial small subunit ribosomal RNA", at positions 524 to 776 of the family's 1533-position model. The record is from RNAcentral.